AACGUAGGGGGCAAGCGUUGCCCGGAUUCACUGGGCGUAAAGCGGGUGUAGGCGGUUCCUUAAGUCGGUUGUGAAAUCCUGCGGCCCAACCGCAGAAUUGCGUCCGAAACUGGGGAACUUGAGGACGGUAGAGGUCGGUGGAAUUCCCGGUGUACCGGUGAAAUGGGCAGAUAUCGGGAGGAACACCAGUGGCGAAGGCGGCCGACUGGGCCGAUCCUGACGCUGAGACCCGAAAGCCAGGGUAGCGAACCGG
This 253-nucleotide ribosomal RNA is filed under the name uncultured prokaryote. RNAcentral's name for it is "partial 16S ribosomal RNA". It matches the Rfam family "Bacterial small subunit ribosomal RNA", at positions 524 to 776 of the family's 1533-position model. The record is from RNAcentral.